UGCAAGUCUGGUGCCAGCAGCCGCGGUAAUUCCAGCUCCAAUAGCGUAUAUUAAAGUUGUUGCAGUUAAAAAGCUCGUAGUUGAACUUCAGGUCUGGUGGGCCGGUCCGCCUCACGGUGUGUACUGGUCGACUGGACCUUACCUCUUGGUGAGCCGUCAUGCCGUUUAUUCGGUGUGGCGGGGAACCAGGACUUUUACUUUGAAAAAAUUAGAGUGUUCAAAGCAGGCCUAUGCCCGAAUACAUUAGCAUGGAAUAAUAGAAUAGGACGUGCGGUUCUAUUUUGUUGGUUUCUAGGAUCGCCGUAAUGAUUAAUAGGGAUAGUUGGGGGCAUUAGUAUUCAGUCGCUAGAGGUGAAAUUCUUGGAUUGACUGAAGACUAACUACUGCGAAAGCAUUUGCCAAA
RNAcentral lists this ribosomal RNA (403 nucleotides) under uncultured Cystofilobasidiaceae. RNAcentral describes it as "SSU rRNA". It matches the Rfam family "Eukaryotic small subunit ribosomal RNA", at positions 554 to 962 of the family's 1831-position model. Lineage: Eukaryota; Fungi; Basidiomycota; Tremellomycetes; Cystofilobasidiales; Cystofilobasidiaceae. The record is from RNAcentral. RNAcentral also lists the same sequence under 1 other name.